This 96-nucleotide transfer RNA is filed under the name Frankia umida. RNAcentral describes it as "tRNA-Arg". The stretch from base 26 to 96 matches the Rfam family "tRNA". From Rfam's summary of the family: Transfer RNA (tRNA) molecules are approximately 80 nucleotides in length. Their secondary structure includes four short double-helical elements and three loops (D, anti-codon, and T loops). Further hydrogen bonds mediate the characteristic L-shaped molecular structure. tRNAs have two regions of fundamental functional importance: the anti-codon, which is responsible for specific mRNA codon recognition, and the 3' end, to which the tRNAs corresponding amino acid is attached (by aminoacyl-tRNA synthetases). tRNAs cope with the degeneracy of the genetic code in two manners: having more than one tRNA (with a specific anti-codon) for a particular amino acid; and 'wobble' base-pairing, i.e. permitting non-standard base-pairing at the 3rd anti-codon position. Lineage: Bacteria; Bacillati; Actinomycetota; Actinomycetes; Frankiales; Frankiaceae. The record is from RNAcentral.
GCGCCUGCGUACUUGGCGGACAUUCGCGGACGUCAGCAGAAUGUCCAGAUCUGACUACGGAUCAGAAGGUUGGGGGUUCGAUUCCCUCCGAGCGCA